UUUUCGUUAAAUAAUUCUACUUCCAAAUACAAAAGAAUUUUUCUUCCGGUUGAUGUAUAUAAUCCUAUGUAAUUUCUGAUAUCGAUGCAGAUGUUAAUCCAUAAGAGAAAAAAAGUUACUAUCAUUACAACCAUAAUUACUGUGCUGUAAAGCCUAACAAAACAAAACUAUUAUAUUAUUAUCCUUAAGAAUCGAUCCUCUAAAAUGCUUCACGAAUACAUUAAUACAUAAUACAUUAACAAUUGGUGGAAUGUGUAAACUUCUGAUGGCAAUAUACAAUGCCAAAGUUGGAAAAGGUCAAAGAGCUUUGAACCGGCGAAUUAGCGAGAGAAAAUCGUUGGAAGCGUUUAAUCUCCCAGGCAACUCGUUAAUUUAAGGAAUAAGAAGGGAGAUAAGUUUUUCUUUCCCGUAUCUUGAUGAAUUUCUCGCGUAACAAAAAAAUUCUACGGUUCGUGAAACUUGAAAAUAAAAAUGGAAAAAAAUUUUUAACCUCAUUCUAAUUAAUGAAAUGUUAUUUAAAUUCAAAUAAUUCAAUUU
Apis dorsata (giant honeybee) is the source of this 537-nucleotide long non-coding RNA. RefSeq lists it as uncharacterized. The record is from RefSeq and is a predicted model, not a curated record. NCBI's taxonomy places the organism in Eukaryota, Metazoa, Arthropoda, Insecta, Hymenoptera, Apidae. The transcript is spliced from 3 exons.